Long non-coding RNA from Phoenix dactylifera (date palm), 513 nucleotides. RefSeq lists it as uncharacterized. Lineage: Eukaryota; Viridiplantae; Streptophyta; Magnoliopsida; Arecales; Arecaceae. The record is from RefSeq and is a predicted model, not a curated record.
GGAACGGUAUUUGGUUUCAAGUGGCGAUCCCCGCCACGGCCCUACCCCAUGAUCUCCGGCGGGGGGAGCCCGACGAGGACGCUCGCGGCGCCUUCGCCCUGCUACCCUUCCCACGCGCCGCUCCUAGCCUAGUCCGGCGACGCCGGCGACCACCACCUCGCCAUGGCCUCCGCUGGGGAGGUGUUUCUUGACAGGCCCGAAGCCCCAGAUUGAAGAAGACUAGCUGGAGAAAAUCCAACUAAACAAGUCCAACCCACCAGCAAAAUGAAAGGCUGAUACACAGAGAAGUCUGUAGCUUCACAAGAGGGGAUAGGAGUGCCACAAAAGCAGAGCUACCUAAUAUGAAUCUGAUCAUGAGCUCAAUAUCUUUGUAUCAUUUCGCGACAAUAAGAAUUACUUUUGGUGGCAAAAUUGCUUGUGGCAUUUCUUAUUAUAUACCAUUAAAAAUCUUUUUUUGCGCCAUUAUUGUAUAAAUGCCACUAUAUUCCAAUAAAUAUUUUUUUGUUAGUGGUA